Molecule: non-coding RNA, 114 nt
Filed under: Faecalibacterium sp. CAG:1138
Lineage: Bacteria; Bacillati; Bacillota; Clostridia; Eubacteriales; Oscillospiraceae
Also listed under: 1 other name
Description: FMN riboswitch aptamer (RFN element)
Rfam family: FMN riboswitch aptamer (RFN element)
About the family: The RFN element is a highly conserved domain that is found frequently in the 5'-untranslated regions of prokaryotic mRNAs that encode for flavin mononucleotide (FMN) biosynthesis and transport proteins. This element is a metabolite-dependent riboswitch that directly binds FMN in the absence of proteins.
Source: Rfam by way of RNAcentral
AAAAUACUUCGGGGGCAAGGUGAAAUUCCUUACCGGUGGUGAAAGUCCACGAGCGCAAGCCGAGCAGGCGAAAUUCCUGCACCGACGGUACAGUCCGGAUUGAAGAAGUUUCAA